This 468-nucleotide ribosomal RNA is filed under the name uncultured bacterium. RNAcentral describes it as "partial 16S ribosomal RNA". It matches the Rfam family "Bacterial small subunit ribosomal RNA", at positions 28 to 507 of the family's 1533-position model. The record is from RNAcentral.
GACGAACGCUGGCGGCGUGCUCAACACAUGCAAGUCGAACGGAAAGGCCCUGCUUUUGUGGGGUGCCCGAGUGGCGAACGGGUGAGUAACACGUGAGUAACCUGCUCUUGACUUUGGGAUAACAUCAGGAAACUGGGGCUAAUACCGGAUAGGAGCUCCUGCUGCAUGGUGGGGGUUGGAAAGUUUCGGCGGUUGGGGAUGGAUGGGCGGGUUAUCAGCUUGGUGGUGGGGUAGUGGCUUACCAAGGCUUUGACGGGUAGCCGGCCUGGGUGGGUGACCGGCCACAUUGGGACUGAGGUACGGCCCAGAGGCCUACGGGAGGCAGCAGUGGGGAGUAUUGCACAAUGGGAGGGAGCCUGAUGCAGCAACGCCGCGUGCGGGAUGACGGCCUUCGGGUAGUGAACCGCUUUCGCCUGUGACGAAGCGUGAGUGACGGUAAUGAGUAAAGAAGCACCGGCUAACUACGUG